Molecule: ribosomal RNA, 464 nt
Filed under: Vreelandella stevensii
Lineage: Bacteria; Pseudomonadati; Pseudomonadota; Gammaproteobacteria; Oceanospirillales; Halomonadaceae
Description: partial 16S ribosomal RNA
Rfam family: Bacterial small subunit ribosomal RNA
Source: RNAcentral
CCUACGGGGGCUGCAGUGGGGAAUAUUGGACAAUGGGCGAAAGCCUGAUCCAGCCAUGCCGCGUGUGUGAAGAAGGCCUUCGGGUUGUAAAGCACUUUCAGUGGGGAAGAAAGCCUUGGGGCUAAUACCCUCGAGGAAGGACAUCACCCACAGAAGAAGCACCGGCUAACUCCGUGCCAGCAGCCGCGGUAAUACGGAGGGUGCGAGCGUUAAUCGGAAUUACUGGGCGUAAAGCGCGCGUAGGCGGUCUGAUAAGCCGGUUGUGAAAGCCCCGGGCUCAACCUGGGAACGGCAUCCGGAACUGUCAGGCUAGAGUGCAGGAGAGGAAGGUAGAAUUCCCGGUGUAGCGGUGCAAUGCGUAGCGAUCGGGAGGAAUACCAGUGGCGAAGGCGGCCUUCUGGACUGACACUGACGCUGAGGUGCGAAAGCGUGGGUAGCAAACAGGAUUAGAUACCCUUGUAGUC